This 383-nucleotide ribosomal RNA is filed under the name Klebsiella pneumoniae. RNAcentral describes it as "bacterial SSU rRNA". It matches the Rfam family "Bacterial small subunit ribosomal RNA", at positions 872 to 1255 of the family's 1533-position model. RNAcentral also lists the same sequence under 1 other name. Lineage: Bacteria; Pseudomonadati; Pseudomonadota; Gammaproteobacteria; Enterobacterales; Enterobacteriaceae. The record is from RNAcentral.
CCUGGGGAGUACGGCCGCAAGGUUAAAACUCAAAUGAAUUGACGGGGGCCCGCACAAGCGGUGGAGCAUGUGGUUUAAUUCGAUGCAACGCGAAGAACCUUACCUGGUCUUGACAUCCACAGAACUUUCCAGAGAUGGAUUGGUGCCUUCGGGAACUGUGAGACAGGUGCUGCAUGGCUGUCGUCAGCUCGUGUUGUGAAAUGUUGGGUUAAGUCCCGCAACGAGCGCAACCCUUAUCCUUUGUUGCCAGCGGUCCGGCCGGGAACUCAAAGGAGACUGCCAGUGAUAAACUGGAGGAAGGUGGGGAUGACGUCAAGUCAUCAUGGCCCUUACGACCAGGGCUACACACGUGCUACAAUGGCAUAUACAAAGAGAAGCGACCU